AAUUAGGGACAUAUUUCAAAAGACUAUUUUCGCUGGCUAAUUUUAUUAUGGGGCCAUUUUGCUGAGAUUUUGAGAGUACUCCAAAAACCCUAAAUUUUCACAAUUUUUAAAGGGUAUUUAUAAGAAGUAUACAUAGAAGAACAGAAAAUUAACUAAUGUGUCACUAUUUACACAGUACAUUAGCAAAGAAAAUUACAUCAUUAUCCUUAUGUCUUUUUAUAUUUUUAUCUUUCAUCUCAAAAUUGGUUAACAAUCAAAUUACCGAUUUAAAUAAAACUUUAUCUAGAGGUAGUGAUAAUAUUAAUCUUAUUGGAUGAAAUUCAGAUUUUGCACGUUAUAGUAACUCGUUAAUUUUGUUUAUAUGAUAUAAUAAAUGAGUUAAGACGGUAACUAUAAAUAUAUCACAUAAAUUAUAACUUAUUGCGGUACAAAAUAACUUUGCAUGAUAUAAUUAUAAACUUAUUGAUAUAAAUAUUUUGUUAUCAUGUUAACCUAAAAAGUAUUACCGAGAUAUUUGUUAUCAUGUUAUCCUGAUAAUACGUUAUCUGCUAACUAUUCUGAUGCAUGUAUUUUUUUACAUGAUUAUUGAAUCGCAAGUCAACUUUUGUUACCUUUUAAUAAUAAUGUUAUCGUCUUCGCCUAUAUAUCCGUAUAAUAAUCAUAUUAUAGCUAUGUCAAUUUUGUAAUUAAUCCAAAUAUGAAGGAUAUUUUUGGUUUAUAUUUUCUUUCUCUUUCAUACUUACCUAAUUUUUAAAUUAUCUCUCCUACUUUUUUAAUUUCCACUUCUUCUGAGUAUAUAAAUUUAAUUC
This 809-nucleotide small RNA is filed under the name Arabidopsis thaliana (thale cress). RNAcentral's name for it is "ATSL215980". Lineage: Eukaryota; Viridiplantae; Streptophyta; Magnoliopsida; Brassicales; Brassicaceae. The record is from RNAcentral.